Molecule: RNA transcript, 1467 nt
Organism: Nannospalax galili (Upper Galilee mountains blind mole rat)
Lineage: Eukaryota; Metazoa; Chordata; Mammalia; Rodentia; Spalacidae
Gene name: DNA-directed RNA polymerase I subunit RPA43 pseudogene
Exons: 2
Source: RefSeq, a predicted model, not a curated record
AUGGGCGCUGCAAAUGGUAAUGUUUCUGUGACCAUGGAACAUGGCACUCUUCUCCUGUCCUAUGUUCAUCUUGGCUCUUUUGUAGUGGAGGCCUACGAAGCACUUGUGGCCUCCAAACUUAUAUCUAACCCAGCGGGUGAGAGGCCGGUGGUGGGGCCGGUGGGCGUAGUGCCCUGCCUGGAGCUGCCAAGCUAUGCCGUGGCCUGCGCGCUGGUCAGUGGCCUCUAUUCCUGCCUGGUGGCCGUGCUGCACUGCAGGCACAUAGCGCUGUCGCCCCGCUACCUGAGCCGGAAGCACUCGGGCAUCCGUGAGCAGCUGGACGCCGAGCUCCUGCGCUACUCCGAGAGCCUUUUAGGUGUCCCUAUUGCAUAUGAUAACAUCAGAGUUGUGGGUGAACUAGGAGAUAUUUAUGAUGAUCAAGGACACAUUCAUCUUAACAUUGAAGCAGAUUUUGUUGUUUUCUGCCCUGAACCAGGGCAAAAGUUAGUGGGCACAGUUAAUAAAGUGUCUUCUAGUCACAUUGGCUGCUUAGUACAUGGGUGUUUUAAUGCCUCCAUCCCUAAGCCUGAGCACAUGUCAUUUGAGCAGUGGCAAACCUUGGAGAUAAAUGUGGGUGAUAAACUGGAAUUUGAUGUAUUUCGCUUAGAUUCAGAUUCUGCUGGAGUAUUCUGCAUUCGAGGAAAACUAAAUACUGAGAGUUUACAGUUCAAGGGCUCUGUAGUUUCUAAAGACAUAGCAGAAACUGGUAUUGAAGAAGUUGCUGAAAAAUUUCAAAGAAAAAAAAGAAAGACUCAGAAACAUAUGAAGCAGUUGAUGGUGCCUCAGUGCUGGCACAUUGUGCAGAAGUUGCUGCAGAGGAAGAGGCCGGCCUACGGAGUGUUGAUCCUGUGAACAGCGUGUGCGAGGAAGAGCCGAAGAAGAGGAAGAAAAAGAAGAAAAGCACCAGGAAGAGCAGGACCGUUUUCCAAGCCAGUGACUCUAGUGGCUACCAAAGUGACCAUAAAAAGAAAAAAAAGAAAAGAAAACACAGUGAACAGGCUGACCUGACCUCGGUUCCUGAGUCACCUAAGAAGAGAAAGUAAUCGUCUUUGUCAGUGUUAAACUGUUUACACACAGUGAAUAAAUAGAUGUUUUGAUUGUACAAGAGGACAUUUAUGUGUACCAGAAGUUCACCAAGCAGGAAUGCUUAUUAUCAAUUGGAAUGGUUUGUACCAAAAUCACAAAACUCACUGAAUGAAUUUGGGUUAUACCAAUAUUAUUAAAGUGUCAUUUUAAUACAUACGAUAUAAAAUGGUAACAACUGCUCUCACUCUUGACUUACAUUCUUACAGAUGCUGCACUCUAACGUGCAAUUUUUACACUCUCAAUAUUUGUUAUUUACAUCAUUAUAAGAAACUAAAUUUGGGGGUUUUGCUUUCUCUUUUUCUAGUAAUAGAUGUUUGGUUUUACUUUUUUGUUGCUGUUUAU